CCAUCAACCCAUCAUCUACAUUAGGUAUUUCUCCUAAUGUUAUCCCUCCCCUUACUUCUUUUUUUUUUUUUUUUUGAGAUGGAGUUUUGCUCUUAUUACCCAGGCUGGAGUGCAAUGGCGUGAUCUCGGCUCACCAUGACGUCUGCCUCCUGGGUUCAAGUAAUUCUCCUACCUCAGCCUCCCGAGUAGCUGGGACUACAGGGUGUGCCACCAUGCCCAGCUAAUUUUUGUAUUUUUAGUAGAGACGGGGUUUCACCAUGUUGACCAGGAUGGUCUCAAUCUCUUGACCUAGUGAUCCACCCGCCUCACCUCCUCUUACUUAUAACCCCUGACCGUGCCUGGUGUGUGAUGUUCUUCUCCCUGUGUCUAUGUUUUUUUAUUGUUCAACUCCUACUUAUGAGUGAGAAUAUGUGAUGUUUGCUUUUGUAUCCCUGUGUCUGCAGAAGAAUGAUGGUUUCCAGCUUCAUCCAUAUCCCUGCAAAGGACAUGAACUCAUCCUUUCUUAUGGCUGCAUAGAGUUCCAUGGUGGUGUCAGAAGUAGGAUUCAAAGCAGAGCUUCUAACAACCCCCAGGAGUGCUGAGUGACCAAGCGAGGUAUCUGCUUUGGCCAUUGUGUCCAUUGCUCCCUUGGAGUAAAAAGGGGAUUGUGGUAAGUUUUCUCUUGGAUUCUAAUGCUCUACAGAUUUGGAUUUUGAGCUCCCCAAUAUUUUUUGAGCAAAUUUCUGAUCCAAACUGGGUUAGGAAGUUGAAACAGAAUCUGGACUGGGUCCAGGAUCAGAUUGGAUCUUCUAACUAAG
RNAcentral lists this long non-coding RNA (797 nucleotides) under Callithrix jacchus (white-tufted-ear marmoset). RNAcentral's name for it is "lncRNA (ENSCJAG00000076742.1)". Lineage: Eukaryota; Metazoa; Chordata; Mammalia; Primates; Cebidae. The record is from RNAcentral.